RNAcentral lists this non-coding RNA (664 nucleotides) under Caenorhabditis japonica. Its description in RNAcentral is "Eukaryotic large subunit ribosomal RNA". It matches the Rfam family "Eukaryotic large subunit ribosomal RNA", at positions 1 to 649 of the family's 3401-position model. Lineage: Eukaryota; Metazoa; Nematoda; Chromadorea; Rhabditida; Rhabditidae. The record is from Rfam by way of RNAcentral.
CAACCUGAACUCAGUCGUGAUUACCCGCUGAACUUAAGCAUAUCAUUUAGCGGAGGAAAAGAAACUAAAAAGGAUUCCCCUAGUAACGGCGAGUGAAACGGGAAGAGUCCAGCGCCGAAUCGAUCAGUCUUUGGCUGCUUCGAAAUGUGGCGUAUAGGUGUAGUCUUCCAGCAGUGUCGUAUGUCCGAAGUCCUUGCGAUUGAGGCCAUAAACCAGAGAGGGUGCGAGCCCCGUUCUGGAUAGCGGCGCUGUUGGUUCGACUGCUCCUUGGAGUCGGGUUGCUUGAAAGUGCAGCCUAAAGUGGGUGAUAAACUUCAUCUAAGGCUAAAUAUUGACUCGAUUGCGAUAGCGAACAAGUACCGUGAGGGAAAGUUGCAAAGGACUUUGAAGAGAGAGUUCAAGAGAACGUGAAAUCGCUGGAGUGGAACCGGAGACAGUUGAUGUUGCUUGGAGACAAUCUUUGUGGCUGAUCGCUUAGCUGUGAUCGCCGCCGGGAGUCGUUUCCUAUGCUACGCCGACGGCGUUGGCCGCUCGUUCUGGCCCGACAGUGUUGCCCAUCUCGCAAGAGACGGUGUCUUGUUGUCGGUCGUUGGUUCGUGGUGGCUAGCGUUUAGUUACGCUAGUGUGUGUGACGUCGGUGUGAAAGUCGACGACGUUUCCGACC